Acanthopagrus latus (yellowfin seabream) is the source of this 838-nucleotide long non-coding RNA. RefSeq lists it as uncharacterized. Lineage: Eukaryota; Metazoa; Chordata; Actinopteri; Spariformes; Sparidae. The transcript has 2 exons. The record is from RefSeq and is a predicted model, not a curated record.
UGAUGAAUGAGGUAACUUUGAUGUAGAAUUGAGAUGUACGCUACUUUUGCGAUCCAUAUUGAACAUGAUGGAAAAGAAAAGGGGAAACCGUGCCUGGAGCAACGUUUGACUUCACAAUUUUUAAAAGACAAAGCUAGCCGAGAGCUUGAGGGUAUCAGGAGACAUGUCAGCUUAGAGACCUACAGCGCUGCUCGAGAUGUUGUUGAGUCAAUCAGCCACAUAACACAGGGAGGACUCAAGAGAGCGAGCUUAAGGGAGCAAACACAGACGUGCUCUUGAGACAAUGCUGCGUAAGUGCACCAGCGGGCUGUCGGACAGCUGCUCACAGAGACCUCAGGCUCAUGUACCACUGGUCACCAGCUCCACGUGUUUGAGGUUAACCUGUUAUUUUUGUUGCUCACUGCCAUAUAGUGGGUGUAAUGCUCAAACAAAAAUAGCCAGAGAAGCAAGAGAGUGAUAUUUGCAAACUUUUUCCUUGUCGUAUUGCCUAUUAAAGCUCGGAAUGACUCACAAAAACAGGAAAGACUUUGUCUUUUUUGUUUUUUUUCUGAGGGGGAGGGGUUUUCACAAUUACAAUUUUACAAUUUGAAAUAUCAAGAACACUCAGAAUGAAGUCUACAUGAACUAAAUGCAGAAAACUGUCUUUUAAGUUAGAUGCUGAUGCGACAAAGCGUUUGUAAUUUACGAGCAGCCCCUGAAUACAUCACGUAGUGUGCAGUCAGUGGACAGAAGCGGGCAGCUGUUUUGGUUUCAGUACUGGGUGUCAGAUGGUAUCUGAGAAAAUGGAGGCUUACAUCAGUCACAAGAAAAAUAAUAAAAGUGCAAGGAAAGAUCCUUA